Molecule: ribosomal RNA, 484 nt
Filed under: uncultured bacterium
Lineage: Bacteria
Description: partial 16S ribosomal RNA
Rfam family: Bacterial small subunit ribosomal RNA
Source: RNAcentral
AUUGAACGCUGGCGGCAUGCUUUACACAUGCAAGUCGAACGGCAGCGCGGGCUUCGGCCUGGCUGCGAGUGGCGAACGGGUGAGUAAUGCAUCGGAACGUGCCCAGUAGUGGGGGAUAGCCCGGCGAAAGCCGGAUUAAUACCGCAUACGACCUGAGGGUGAAAGCGGGGGACCGAAAGGCCUCGCGCUAUUGGAGCGGCCGAUGUCGGAUUAGCUAGUUGGUGGGGUAAAGGCUUACCAAGGCGACGAUCCGUAGCUGGUCUGAGAGGACGACCAGCCACAGUGGAACUGAGACAAGGUCAAGACGCCUACGGGAGGCAGCAGGGGGGAAUAUGGGAGAAUGGGAGCAAGACUGAUCCAGGAAUAAAGCGUGGGGGAAGAAGGAAUUCGGGUUGUAAAGACCGUGUGGGGGGAAAGAAAAGCAGCAGGUUAAUACCCAGCGGUUAUGAAGGGACAAAAAGAAGAAGCAACGGCUAAAUGCGUG